GAUGAAGAACGUAGCGAAAUGCGAUAAGUAAUGUGAAUUGCAGAAUUCAGUGAAUCAUCGAAUCUUUGAACGCAUAUUGCGCUCUCUGGUAUUCCGGAGAGCAUGCUUGUUUGAGUAUCAGUAAACACCUCAACUUCCAUAUCUUUUUUGAAAUGGGAGUUGGACUUGAGUGAUCCCAACGCUUUUCCUCACCGAAAAGUGGCGGGUUACUUGAAAUGCAGGUGCAGCUGGACUUUUCUCUGAGCUAUAAGCAUAUCUAUUUAGUCUGCCUAAAAAACAGAUUAUUACCUUUGCUGCAGCUAACAUAAAGGAGAUUAGUUCUUGUGCUGACUGAUGCAGGAUUCACAAAGACAGGCUUCGGCCGACUUUGUAAACUCGAUCUCCAAUCAAGUAAGACUACCCGCUGAACUUAAGCAUAUCAAUAAGCGGAGGA
RNAcentral lists this unclassified non-coding RNA (433 nucleotides) under soil metagenome. Its description in RNAcentral is "partial contains 5.8S ribosomal RNA, internal transcribed spacer 2, and large subunit ribosomal RNA". The stretch from base 1 to 120 matches the Rfam family "5.8S ribosomal RNA", at positions 35 to 154 of the family's 154-position model. The record is from RNAcentral.